AAACUAACAAGGAUUCCCCUAGUAACGGCGAGUGAAGCGGGAAGAGCUCAAAUUUAAAAUCUGGCAGGCUACGCUUGUCCGAAUUGUAAUCUCGAGAAGUGUUUUCCGCGUUGGCCUGUGUACAAGUCCCUUGGAACAGGGCGUCAUAGAGGGUGAGAAUCCCGUCCUUGACACAGACACCCAAUGCUUUGUGAUACACUCUCAAUGAGUCGAGUUGUUUGGGAAUGCAGCUCAAAAUGGGUGGUAAAUUCCAUCUAAAGCUAAAUACUGGCGAGAGACCGAUAGCGAACAAGUACCGUGAGGGAAAGAUGAAAAGCACUUUGGAAAGAGAGUCAAACAGUACGUGAAAUUGUUGAAAGGGAAACGAUUGAAGUCAGUCGUGCCUGCCUAGAUUCAGCCUUCUGGUGUAUUUCUAGGUUGGCAGGUCAGCAUCAGUUUGGGGGGGUUAACAAGGGAAUUGGGAAUGUGGCAACCUCGGUUGUGUUAUAGCCCAGUUUCGCAUUGAUCUCGCUGGACUGAGGAACGCAGUGCGCCCGCAAGGGUUGGUCUUCGGACACAUUCGCACUUAGGAUGCGGCUUUUU
This 582-nucleotide ribosomal RNA is filed under the name Cystofilobasidium infirmominiatum. Its description in RNAcentral is "LSU rRNA". It matches the Rfam family "Eukaryotic large subunit ribosomal RNA", at positions 62 to 634 of the family's 3401-position model. Lineage: Eukaryota; Fungi; Basidiomycota; Tremellomycetes; Cystofilobasidiales; Cystofilobasidiaceae. The record is from RNAcentral.